UUGCUUCCCCUAGUGCUGAUGUUGGUUUACCUCCCACUUAUGUUAGAUCUUUGCUUUGCUUUGCUUUCCCCUAGUUUGCACUCUUAACCCAACAGGGCCUUAAGGUUUGAGGGAAGGCAUCUGUCCACUGCCAUUAGCUCAAAUACCCAAACAAAGCCUAAAGUUUGAACCCAUAUUCAGAUUCAAGAAUGAUAUUUGUAUUUACUAUUUAGCUACUCUACGGUAGUUAAAUUUAGUUUUUGAACAGAAAUUCCUUAUUGCUUCUAUUUGUUGGUGUUUGUGAAUGCAUCAACUAAUGGGAUGGAAGGAAUCAUUUUACAGGUGCUAGCAUUUGGUAAGCACUAUCUAGAUCCUUGUCGGACAGUCAAUCCCACUCAAUCAGAGAGAGAGAAGUGGGGAUUAUACGGAGUACAGAUUCCUUGCCUAUUAUCCCUCAGUUAUGAUGUGUGUGGUCCUACAUGACACUCUCAAUUCAAGUGGAAGGUUUGCGAGGCAUAAUUCCUGCCAAGCUGGGGUUGACCAGCCUGUUCACUGCAUGUGGAGUAGAUCUCUUCUUCACCAGGAUAGCACCCUUGUGUACAUAUGAUUCCCUCGCAGAAGACUACAAUUACACUUCUCAUCACAAUUGUUGCGCUAGUUCUGUCAAUUUUUGUAACAUGGGUCUUGUAUGAGAAAAAGGAUUUGAAAGAGAAAUGGAGGUUAGCUGGUCUCUUCUUCUUCUUCUCUCUUCUUUUCCACACUAAAGAUUUGUUCUUCUUCCAUCAAGUGGCACACUUUUUGAUAGCUUUGGGAGGUUGCUCCAA
Magnolia sinica is the source of this 803-nucleotide long non-coding RNA. RefSeq lists it as uncharacterized. Lineage: Eukaryota; Viridiplantae; Streptophyta; Magnoliopsida; Magnoliales; Magnoliaceae. The transcript is spliced from 2 exons. The record is from RefSeq and is a predicted model, not a curated record.